CAUCAUAAAAUUAUAGAGUGUGUGAGUUUGUUUUUCAUAAGGGAUGUGAGGUCUUGGGUGGGUGGCCUUCCUAGGUGUGAGAGAUUAGAAGAGUUCUUCCCCCUCUUGGAUGAGUGAAAAUCUAGAUCUGAUUCUAGGGUUUUGGGAAGAGAGAAAAGCGAGAAGAAAGUUCUCAUCUUUAUCUUUUUCCAUCACCACAUCCUCCUCCGUGUUCCAUCUUCAGAUCUGGAAGAGUCCGGGAGAUCCAAAGAGAGGAGUAGAUCAGUCAUGUAGAAGGUCUUCGUGUGAGCUAGCAUUCUUGGAGAAAUCAAUCAGCACAGUGCUUUGAGUGGACCAUCCAUAGAGGUCAGACAUCCUGUACGACUGCGAGCAACCAGUAAGACCUCAAGUUCUCGUGAUUCAGACAUGGUGAUCUACUACCCGCGCUAAGAUAUCAAGUUCUGAACUAGAUAGUUAUGUAGAUGUGAUCUACGGAUGCAUGUUAUAUAUGAUCAUGUAUGCAGAUUUUAUUUUCAGAUCAUAUACAUGUAUUUUAUCAUAUUAUAGAUCCUAAGAUAGAAUUUUUAGAUAUGAUCUAAAACAUGUUUAUUAGAUUAAAUUGUUUAAUCUAAUUCUAUUCUACUGUAUAAUUUUUUGAAAUUACAUGCUUGAAGC
This 654-nucleotide long non-coding RNA is filed under the name Elaeis guineensis (African oil palm). RNAcentral describes it as "long non-coding RNA (EGUI_LNC016109)". Lineage: Eukaryota; Viridiplantae; Streptophyta; Magnoliopsida; Arecales; Arecaceae. The record is from RNAcentral.